AACUAUUGAUUUACAAGGAAAUGCCGUGAACUAUCGAUUUACAAGGAAAUGCCAUGAACUAUUGAUUUACAAGGAAAUGCCAUGAACUAUUGAUUUACGAGGAAAUGCCAUGAACUAUUGAUUUACAAAAAAAUACCGUGAACUAUUCAUUUACAAGGAAAAGCCCUGAACUAUUGAUUUACAAGGAAAUGCCGCGAACUAUUCAUUUACAAGGAAAUGCUGUGAACUAUUCAUUUACAAGGAAAUGCCGUGAACUAUUCAUUUACAAGGAAAUGCCAUGAACUAUUGAUUUACGAGGAAAUGCCGUGAACUAUUCAAGGAAACGUUACCGCCGACUGACUCCCGCCUCAGACCAGAUUGUAGAGCUCUAGAAAACGGUGACUUAGAUCGUGCGACGGCGGAGAAAAUCCGUUUAGAGGAGAAACAGCGCGCGGCGAGACGUGAGCGACAGAAGAGUGACCAAGAGUGGGCACCAAGGUG
Nematostella vectensis (starlet sea anemone) is the source of this 480-nucleotide long non-coding RNA. RefSeq lists it as uncharacterized. The transcript has 3 exons. The record is from RefSeq and is a predicted model, not a curated record. NCBI's taxonomy places the organism in Eukaryota, Metazoa, Cnidaria, Anthozoa, Actiniaria, Edwardsiidae.